RNAcentral lists this ribosomal RNA (2157 nucleotides) under Listeria monocytogenes. RNAcentral's name for it is "partial 23S ribosomal RNA". It matches the Rfam family "Bacterial large subunit ribosomal RNA", at positions 775 to 2925 of the family's 2925-position model. Lineage: Bacteria; Bacillati; Bacillota; Bacilli; Caryophanales; Listeriaceae. The record is from RNAcentral.
CGAACCCACGCACGUUGAAAAGUGCGGGGAUGAGGUGUGGGUAGCGGAGAAAUUCCAAUCGAACUUGGAGAUAGCUGGUUCUCUCCGAAAUAGCUUUAGGGCUAGCCUCGAGGUAAAGAGUCAUGGAGGUAGAGCACUGUUUGGACUAGGGGCCCUUCUCGGGUUACCGAAUUCAGAUAAACUCCGAAUGCCAUGUACUUAUACUCGGGAGUCAGACUGCGAGUGAUAAGAUCCGUAGUCGAAAGGGAAACAGCCCAGACCACCAGUUAAGGUCCCCAAAUAUAUGUUAAGUGGAAAAGGAUGUGGGGUUGCUUAGACAACCAGGAUGUUGGCUUAGAAGCAGCCACCAUUGAAAGAGUGCGUAAUAGCUCACUGGUCGAGUGACCCCGCGCCGAAAAUGUACCGGGGCUAAACAUAUUACCGAAACUGUGGAUGAACCUCUUUAGAGGUUCGUGGUAGGAGAGCGUUCUAAGGGCGGUGAAGUCAGACCGGAAGGACUGGUGGAGCGCUUAGAAGUGAGAAUGCCGGUAUGAGUAGCGAAAGAAGGGUGAGAAUCCCUUCCACCGAAUAUCUAAGGUUUCCUGAGGAAGGCUCGUCCGCUCAGGGUUAGUCGGGACCUAAGCCGAGGCCGAUAGGCGUAGGCGAUGGACAACAGGUAGAGAUUCCUGUACCAGUGCUAAUUGUUUAACCGAUGGGGUGACACAGAAGGAUAGGGAAUCGCACGAAUGGAAAUGUGCGUCCAAGCAGUGAGUGUGAGAAGUAGGCAAAUCCGCUUCUUGCGAAGCAUGAGCUGUGAUGGGGAAGGAAAUUAAGUACGGAAGUUCCUGAUUUCACGCUGUCAAGAAAAGCCUCUAGGAAGAGUAGUACUGCCCGUACCGCAAACCGACACAGGUAGAUGAGGAGAGAAUCCUAAGGUGAGCGAGAGAACUCUCGUUAAGGAACUCGGCAAAAUGACCCCGUAACUUCGGGAGAAGGGGUGCUCUAUUAGGGUGCAAGCCCGAGAGAGCCGCAGUGAAUAGGCCCAGGCGACUGUUUAGCAAAAACACAGGUCUCUGCAAAACCGUAAGGUGACGUAUAGGGGCUGACGCCUGCCCGGUGCUGGAAGGUUAAGAGGAGUGCUUAGCUUCGGCGAAGGUACGAAUUGAAGCCCCAGUAAACGGCGGCCGUAACUAUAACGGUCCUAAGGUAGCGAAAUUCCUUGUCGGGUAAGUUCCGACCCGCACGAAAGGCGCAACGAUCUGGGCACUGUCUCAACGAGAGACUCGGUGAAAUUAUAGUACCUGUGAAGAUGCAGGUUACCCGCGACAGGACGGAAAGACCCCGUGGAGCUUUACUGCAACCUGAUAUGGAAUGUUUGUACCGCUUGUACAGGAUAGGUAGGAGCCGAAGAGACGUGUGCGCUAGCAUACGAGGAGGCAAUGGUGGGAUACUACCCUGGCUGUAUGACCAUUCUAACCCGCCACGCUUAGCGCGUGGGGAGACAGUGUCAGGUGGGCAGUUUGACUGGGGCGGUCGCCUCCUAAAGAGUAACGGAGGCGCCCAAAGGUUCCCUCAGAAUGGAUGGAAAUCAUUCGCAGAGUGUAAAGGCACAAGGGAGCUUGACUGCGAGACUGACAAGUCGAGCAGGGACGAAAGUCGGGCUUAGUGAUCCGGUGGUUCCGCAUGGAAGGGCCAUCGCUCAACGGAUAAAAGCUACCCCGGGGAUAACAGGCUUAUCUCCCCCAAGAGUCCACAUCGACGGGGAGGUUUGGCACCUCGAUGUCGGCUCGUCGCAUCCUGGGGCUGUAGUCGGUCCCAAGGGUUGGGCUGUUCGCCCAUUAAAGCGGCACGCGAGCUGGGUUCAGAACGUCGUGAGACAGUUCGGUCCCUAUCCGUCGCGGGCGCAGGAAAUUUGAGAGGAGCUGUCCUUAGUACGAGAGGACCGGGAUGGACACACCGCUGGUGUACCAGUUGUUCCGCCAGGAGCAUCGCUGGGUAGCUAUGUGUGGCAGGGAUAAACGCUGAAAGCAUCUAAGCGUGAAGCCCCCCUCAAGAUGAGAUUUCCCAUUUCUUCGGAAAGUAAGAUCCCUGAAAGAUGAUCAGGUAGAUAGGUUUGGAGUGGAAGUGUAGCGAUACAUGGAGCGGACAAAUACUAAUCGAUCGAGGACUUAACCAAAA